GAGUUUGAUCGUGGCUCAGGAUGAACGCUGGCGGCGUGCCUAACACAUGCAAGUCGAGCGGAGUUCUUAAGGAAUGCGGCUCCGGCCAAAUGACUUUUGAACUUAGUGGCGGACGGGUGAGUAACGCGUGAGCAACCUGCCUUUCAGAGGGGGAUAACAUUUGGAAACAGAUGCUAAUACCGCAUAAGAUUACAGUACCGCAUGAUACAGUGAUCAAAGGAGCAAUCCGCUGGAAGAUGGCUCGCGUCCGAUUAGAUAGUUGGUGAGGUAACGGCUCACCAAGUCGACGAUCGGUAGCCGGACUGAGAGGUUGAACGGCCACAUUGGGACGUGAGACACGGCCCAGACUCCUACGGGAGGCAGCA
RNAcentral lists this ribosomal RNA (365 nucleotides) under uncultured microorganism. RNAcentral's name for it is "bacterial SSU rRNA". It matches the Rfam family "Bacterial small subunit ribosomal RNA", at positions 9 to 353 of the family's 1533-position model. The record is from RNAcentral.